This 251-nucleotide ribosomal RNA is filed under the name uncultured bacterium. Its description in RNAcentral is "partial 16S ribosomal RNA". It matches the Rfam family "Bacterial small subunit ribosomal RNA", at positions 524 to 776 of the family's 1533-position model. The record is from RNAcentral.
UACGGAGGUGGCAAGCGUUGCUCGGAAUUACUGGGCGUAAAGCGCGUGUAGGCGGUUGCCAAAUCGGGUGUGAAAGCCUUGAGCUCAACUCAAGAAUUGCACUCGAUACUUGGUGACUAGAGGACCGGAGAGGAUAGUGGAAUUCCAGUGUAGUGGUGAAAUACGUAGAGAUUGGGAAGAACACCAGUGGCGAAGGCGGCUAUCUGGACGGUUUCUGACGCUAAGACGCGAAAGCGUGGGGAGCAAACAGG